UGCGUAGGUGGCUUUGUAAGUCAGUGGUGAAAGCCCGGAGCUUAACUCCGGAACUGCCAUUGAUACUGCUUAGCUUGAAUCAGGUCGAGGUGGAUGGAAUAUUACAUGUAGCGGUGAAAUGCUUAGAUAUGUAAUAGAACACCAAUUGCGAAGGCAGUUCACCAGGCCUGUAUUGACACUGAGGCACGAAAGCGUGGGGAUCAAACAGGAUUAGAUACCCUGGUAGUCCACGCCCUAAACGAUGUAAACUCGACAUUAGCGAUAUACUGUUAGUGUCCAAGCGAAAGCGUUAAGUUUACCACCUGGGAAGUACGACCGCAAGGUUGAA
Molecule: ribosomal RNA, 328 nt
Filed under: uncultured bacterium
Lineage: Bacteria
Description: bacterial SSU rRNA
Rfam family: Bacterial small subunit ribosomal RNA
Source: RNAcentral